GGUGGUUUUUUUUUUUUUUC
This 20-nucleotide microRNA is filed under the name Corchorus olitorius. RNAcentral's name for it is "bta-miR-232". The record is from RNAcentral. Lineage: Eukaryota; Viridiplantae; Streptophyta; Magnoliopsida; Malvales; Malvaceae.